RNAcentral lists this long non-coding RNA (7145 nucleotides) under Medicago truncatula (barrel medic). Its description in RNAcentral is "long non-coding RNA (MTRU_LNC006615)". The record is from RNAcentral. Lineage: Eukaryota; Viridiplantae; Streptophyta; Magnoliopsida; Fabales; Fabaceae.
GCGGUGGAAGUAACAAGUGUUUGGUGACAAAUUACACAUGCUCUGCCUCUGCUUUGAUAAAGGUAAAUGUAAAAUGGAUGGGUGACUAUUCUGUCACUACAAUCAUACUUUUAAUAAUUGAUUGAUUGAUUGGAUAUUCAAUAUAUAAAUUAUGUAUUAUAUUUUAGAAAAAUUGACGUACAACCAUUUUGUGAUAAUUUUUCGACAACUCUUCUAUUAAUACUCACAUUAAGUUUUUAUUUUCUCUCUUUCUUUUUCUCUCUCCAUUAUUUUUUACCAAUAAAAAGAGAAAAAAAAAUUUGUCAUGAUAAUUGUCAAAAAUGAUUGUUCAAAUAUCACUGCUCUAAAUUUUAUUCUCAAUCUUUUUCUUUGGAUAAAUGUACACAUCAUCGAUCAAAUCUUUUUCUUUCAAAUAUUGAUGCAAUCAUUUAGGGCUUGUUUGUUUCAAGAGAAAGUGGAGGGAUGGAAGCCUAUGAGAUGGAAAGUUUUUUGGGAUGUAGGCUUUCCAUCGUUUGGUUUCCAUAGAUUGAGGAAGGAAAGAUUGAUUUGAGUGGGACCCAUGCUCAGAAAACUUUCCGCAUCAUUAUGGGAAGAAAGUUAGGAACUUGCAUCUUUUUAAGCAAAAUGACGUAUAUACCCCUGCUUUAUAGACAUAUUUGUGAGGGAGAUAGGUAUCAAUAAUAUAUAUAUAAAAUAAUGUUUUUUAUGCCACGUGUCACUUUCAUGUUUAUUCGCAAUAUUUUUAUUAUUUUUCUAAUUUUUCAAAACCAAUAUUUAAUUUGGCAUAAAUAUCUCAACAAACUUUUGAUCUUAUCUAUUAAAUAUUUUACUUAAAUUUUUUUAUUGAAUUCCUAAUAUUUUAUGUAACAUAAAUAUAUCAACAAAUUACAUACGAUACCCUUCAACUAUAAAUCAACAAUCAAUCAAUCAAUAAUAUAUAUAUAUAAACUAAGGUUUUUUAUGCCACGUGUCACUUUCACAUUUAUUCGCAUUAUUUUUAUUAUUUUUCUAUUUUUUAAAAUCAAUAUUUGAUUUGCCAUAAAUAUCUCAACAAAUUUUUUAUCUUAUCUAUUAAAUAUUUUACUUAACUUUUUCAUUGAAUUCCUAAUAUUUUAUGUAACAGAAAUAUCUCAACAGAAAUAACACAAAUUUCGAAAAGUUAAUUUUAUUCUAUAUGUGUUAAUAUUUUUACUAAAUUCAAUUAAUUUUAUCUGUUUGUGCAUCUAUAAAUUUACGAGUAUUUAUAAUAUGGUAUAUUUUAUUAUAUUUGUGUGUAUUUAUUAAGAUAUUCAUCAUAUACAAAUCCGUGAUAAAUUUUAUUUGCGGGUAUCAUACAUACAAUUUUUUUAUCUUCUUGAAUAUGUCUAACCUGGACAACGCCGGAUAAAUACACUAGUUUGGUUUAACGUUUGUGUUUCUUUAUUUUUUUCAUUUUUAUGUUUUUAAUAGUUGUAUUUUUAUUUUCUUUCAAAAAGAAAUUUCUAUUUUAUUUUGUAUCGUCAGAGAUUUUUUUACCAAUACGGCGCCACUUUAUUUACGAAUAUGUUGCCCCUUAUACUUUUAAUUUGUAGUAUCUCAUUUUAAUUUUUUAAUCCAGGGAUAUAUGUGUCAUUUUCUAAAUGCACUUAUAUCUUUCCUUUCACUUUCUACUCACAUUCAUUCAUACCAAACAACUAAAAUAAUUAUCAUACUUUCCAUUUACUUUCUACUCACAUUCAUUCCUUAACCAAUCUUUCCUCUUACUUUCUUUCCUUAUACUUUCUUUUCUCAUCCAAACAAUGCCUUAAAGACAAAUUUGAUGAUGAUACACACAAAAAUUUUAUGAUUGAUUGGAUAUUCAAUAUAUAAAUUAUGUGUUACUCCCUCCGUCCCUAAUUAUAAGACCCUUUUGAGAAAAUUUUUUGUCCUUUUUUAUAAGACCCCUUUGCUAUUUCCAACUACAUUAAUAUUUCUUUACAUGCAUGCCCCUAUUUAUUAUACAUAAUUUUCUUCAAUCAGCAAUAAAUAUCAUAUUGAAAACAUAAACUAAUUCUCUCUUAAAGGAUAAAAUUGUAAAAACAAUAGUAAUUACAAACAUAUUUAAUACAAAUAUUCACUAUCUUAAUUCCCGUUAUUUUUUCAAAAGGGUCCUAUAAUUAGGGACGGAGGGAGUAUUUUUUAAGAGAAAAAUUGUUUACUAUCACCUAUAAUUAUAAUAAAUAAAUUUUAUUUAUCAAAAACGUCGACGAAAUAAAAUUUUAUUUUUCUGAAUGAAAUGAUGUUUUUUCUUAUGAAAUAAUAUUUUCUAAAAUAUAAAUAUCAACAAACAACUCUUUAUUUCAUAAUAAUAACAAUUAAUUUAUAGAAUUUUGAAGUAAGAAUACUGGUACACUUUAAUUUGCAGAUGUACCGUAGAAGUUUCCUCAUUUAAAUAUUAAAACAUCAACCAACAAAAGUUUUAUUUCUUUAGAACAAUAGUUUUCUACGACGUGACGAAUUAAAUCUUGAAUUUUAAGUAAAGUGGAUGUUUAUAUUUAUUUGAUUGUGCCUCAAACAUGAAUAGCUAUUGUGGACGGAACCUCUAAAUGGUGUUAAAUGGAUGAUAUGUGUACAAAAAUAACUUCUCUUUAAUAUAUGACUAAAAAAUAGUUGUCUUUAAUUUGUGUACUUUAUUUUACGGAAAUAAACUUAACUCGUUUCAUUCAUCAAACUAUUUUUAAUAUAUGGUCAAAUAUAGGUAAAUUAUUGGCAAUUAGCAAUAGAUGACUAGAGCCUAUACUGACAUGCGAAGCGCUCUCUAACUAAUUCAUUAGUCAUGACCCUGUGAUAUUCUUCAUAUCCUGAUCACUAAUUUGCACCAAAUUUGUAACAAAUGCCUUAUUUAUUUAUACAAUAUUCUUCGUAUAAAGAUACACUAUCUCGUUCGGUUGAACCUUUUAAUUCUCAUUAAUUCUCAUGAACUCUCAAUUACUUGAAUGAUUGAGUCAUUGUUUGCAAAUCACCCUCUUUGGUGGAUCAAUGUUAUCUUCUACCACAAAUCAGCAGCUCCGACUAUCGUUCACAAGUCUUCUCUAAAUCACACAAUUGUUGAUAUGUGGUUGAUUGACAACAUCCUAAAUAAUCAAACUAAUGUGACCCGGUCAAAAAUAUGAGAAAACAAAUUGUGAUGUAUUUUUAUUUUAUUUUUAACGAUAUGUGAUAUAUAAGUUGAUUCACUCCUUCACAUUUUUCUCAUUUCCUCUCUUAACUCUUUGGCCUCUCUUAAUCUCACUCGCUUGAAUAUUUCUUUUUUGAGUUAAUUAAGUUUUUGGUCCCUAUAAAUAUCUGCAGUUUUGUUUUUAAUCUCUAUAAAAAUAAAUCACAUUUCUUAGUCCUUACAAAAUUUUUCGUUAGUGUUUUUAGUUUCUGUAAAAUUAAAAUUUGUUUAGUUAUAUGAUUAAUACCAGUAAUUAAUUAAUCCUAAAUGGGAAAAAAGGGCAAAAGGCAGUUUUACUUCUUUUUUCUAUAGUAGGUUUUAUUUUUCUUGUUUUGAGUCUUUUUUGAAAUUAGGUCGACGACAGUUAAACAAAUAAAAAAAUUAUGAUUAGGGUCUCAGGGGAGAAUAUUCUUAUCUUCGUUGAUUUGAUAGCCAUUAGAAUGACACAACAAAGUCUUUCAAAUAUACAUUCAGAAAUCAGAACAUCUUAAAGAAAAUUAAAUUUAUAAAAACAAUAUAUUAUACUUUUUUUGUCGAAAACAAAAUAUUAUAGUACUCAAGAUGUUCGUUAAAAAAAAUGUUGGUUAAAAGAAAAUUACACUGGGUUUCAAUGACGGAUGAGGCAAUAUUAACACGAAGAGUGAUAUUUGUACAACCUUUCUGACAACCAUUUUUUCUCUAUUUUUAUUGGACAAAAAUAAUAGAGAGAGAAAAAAAAACUAUAUGAAUAUGAGAGAGAAAAUUGUUUCAAAAGUUAUAAAAAAAUAAUUGUACAAAUAUCAUUUGUUAACACUAUAUAUCAACAAGGGUUAACCGUAUUCUACCUUUUAUAGUUAUUUGUUUCUCUUUUUUAUUUAUUUAAUUAAGUGGUUAUCCACGUAUAUUUGCGACUUUUUUUUUUGUUUUUUUAAUUUUUCAUCGUUUUAUGCGACGUUUGUAGGAUUUUUCAUCUUACUACUGUGCUUGUUGGGUCAUAUUGACCAAUUCACUUCAAAUCAUAGCAUAUCAUGUCAUAAUUUAAUUUGUUUUUAUUGUUGUGAGCUAGCAGAAUUUUGUGUCUGGUGUGCUGUCUAGCUAGCAAUGGUUCAGUCGUCAGUAUUGCUCCAGUCUGUUCCAUGUUACAUCUACGUAUUUUUCAUUGUAUUAUUAUUUUUAAGAUUUUAUCACCCACACACAAGCAGAGAAUGAGAAAGGGGACGAUUAUGAUAAUGAAAAUGUUAAUGAGUAUCUUCAAAAUACUAUUUAAGAUUUUUAAUUAAUAAUUUUUUUAAAAUUUUUUAUGUAAUGAAUACAUUAAAAAUUGCAAUAUUUAAUUUUCUUAUGAAUUUUUUUUUCAUUGACUCAGAAACACCGGUUAACUAGAUCUUAUGAUAAUUAGUUAAUUUAUUUUUCUAUGAUAGACGAACAUUUCACAACCAUAUACACAACACCAAUAAAUACAAUGCAAAAUGAUAUAGGAAGGACCAAGACGUGUACCAAUAAAUUAAUGGGAAGUAGGAACAAUUUGAUUAAAUUAGAUGUCCCCUCUUCUACGUAUCAAAAUAAAACCAGAGGCAAUGGGAAAAACAUGUGGCACCAAAACCAUGGGAAUUACACGACAAAUUAACAAGAUAUAGGUCUCUUUCUAUCAUUUCUCUUCAUCCAAUUAUCCUACACUUCUUACAACAUUUCCAUGCUGUCCUUAUCAUUAUUUCAUCUCUAUACACGUGUUUAACACGAGUGGAAAAAGGAUUCCUUCACCAAUGAUAUUCUUAUUUAUUUAUCACGUAGAAGCUUGACUCUUAAGAAAUAAACGGGUGAGAGUACUGUUUUACGAAUACAAUAUAGAAAACAAAGUGCAUCAUGGUAUUUGAAGGUGGAAAUUGAUGAAAAUACAAGUAUUAAUAAAUCGAUCCAUGGUUCAAAAGAAAUAAAAAACUCUCAUCUUGAUUAACCAAGCCAAGCAAAAUUCGCCAGAGAGUGGGUUGAGGCAGGGAAUCCUCUCUCCUUUUAUGUUUUUGUUUACAAAGUGGGUGAUAACCAAUGUUUUAAAAACCAGACCGACCGGUUCAACCAUGAACCGUAUCAAGGUCCGGUCUGAACAGCCUUACAAAACCGCUAGUCUCAAAAACCGGGGGGAAAACCAGAUAAACCGGUUUGAAUCGGUAAAAACUGGGAAAACCGGUCCAAGUUAUGUCUAACCAGCCGGUCCACCUUCUAGGACGCGAACCCCAGCGCGCCUCCCUCUACUCUGCGGCAGCUCUGCCGUCAACAACCAUGAUUUAGCGGUUCUGAUUGAGUUCUCACCAACAUGAACUUGAGAGAAAGAUUAGAUUGGUUUGUUUAAUAUUUGAGUUGGAUAGAGAGGAGGAGAUUUGAAAUUUGUAACAGAAGACACAUCGUUAGAGGGAAGACUCUCAGACUCAGUGCUGCUUUUUGUUUCUUUAUUUACUUUUCAACCAAUUUGAUGAAAAUACACUUACAUCUGAAACAUACAUGAAUCGAAAAGUCUAUUGUAAUUUACCCAAUGAAAUAAUACUUACAUUGGAAACAUAGGUUCGGUACGCGUGUUUUCAAUGUAAAGUCAAGGGAAAGCCAAAGAGAAAAACUCAAUCCCCUUCACCAUGCAGAUUCAAAUGUUUUUAUUCAAUUCACUUCUUCAUCUUCUUUAACUUCCAUACCCCAAUUUCAAAGCCACCAUUUUGCUUUCUUGCAUUUACAACAUUGAAGUCACCGAUUCCCAUCUCUAGAUACUCGAUUCCAAUAUCCUCCCUUCUCUCUUAUUUACAAGUUUCUGCUCCCAAUUCAGCAGCAUUCAAGCCGCAAUUUUUUUUUUCUGUAUCCAUGCAUGCAAAAAAACUCCACGUUUUUUUCUCUUAACAGAAAUCGCCACAAGAUCCAUCAAAGUUAAGUUUUACAAACUACUUCAAUUUCACUUCCGCUUCACAUCUUUCAUGCCAAAUGCUUUGUCUAAUUUUUCUAAUACCAACAACAUGGUUUGACUUCCCAUUUUUAUAUCAUUGAACUGAAAGCUAUGUUUACUAUUUUUAUUAUAACGUGAUAAGCAAGAGUUGGACUCAUUAGAUUUUACAUUUUUAUCAUGAAAUUUCGUUAUUUUUGAAGAGAAAAGAUUAAUACUUUUGCAUUUUUGAAGUCCCUGUAUCUUUCCCAUUUUGUUACGCUCACUCAUGCACCUUAUAAAACCUAUUUUAUACUUUGUAAAUGUCCUUUUUUCCUUUAGCAAUUAGCUGAUUUUAACUUUUAACAUGGAUAUCAAGACCAUUUCAGGAGAUAAAAAUGACGCUAAAGUUAUUUUAUAGGUUUCAGAUUUACUGAAUCAAUGUCGAUGAUGGUGUAGUCAAAACAAAUGAUUGUUCAAAACAGCCGCAACCCAAAUUAUGUCAAGUUUUAAUGGCGAGCACAUCAUCUAACCAAGUGAACUCACAACUUUGUCAAAAGAUAGAUUCCUAUCAAUCGAUUCCGACAAAGAUUCUCCUACAAAGAGAUGGCGGUCGGAGAUCGGAGACUGGGAGGAGAUGGCGACGACAGAGAGAUGGAGAGAGAAGAGAUAAAUAUUUGAAACGUGUAACAAAGGUGUAACCAAGUUUUAGUUUUAUGAUCAAUUGUCUCUUUCUCACCAUUUCUCCAUGUGAUUAUAUUAAAAGGAAUGUUUUUAUGGGACACACUUGUGAUUUUUUACUAAUGAUAAUAAAGGGAGGUGAAUGAUUUUCAUUGUUUGACAGGCUUUAGGAAAACUAUCCAAAAAUUAUUUGCAUUUAACCAUUUUUUAACAAAGGUGUAACCACAUUUUAUUUUCAUGACCAAAUUGUCUCUUUAUCACUAUUUCUCCACACGAUUUUAGUGAAUGGAAUAUAUUUGAGGCACACUUGUGGUUUUUGAGUCAUGAUAAUAAAGUGAGGCGAAUGAUCUUCAAUAUUUUCAAUGUUUGACAAGUUUUAGGCAUACUGACCAAAAAGGAGUUGCACUUAAC